UCUGGACAUCGUGAACUAUUGCUAGAUGGUAACUUCGAUUAGUAUAAAAAAUAGUUCCUAUGCUACUGGCUUAGUAUUCGAACCUAUGGAGUCACGUAUAAAGUCAGGCAACGUAGGAAAGAAUGGACCUAAGUUUAUGAGUUCAAUUUGGAAGUAUGUAACUUGAUUAAAUAAAUAGAUUAGCUUAAUUAAGAAUUAAGUUAAGGAUCAUAUAGGAUU
Molecule: long non-coding RNA, 219 nt
Filed under: Elaeis guineensis (African oil palm)
Lineage: Eukaryota; Viridiplantae; Streptophyta; Magnoliopsida; Arecales; Arecaceae
Description: long non-coding RNA (EGUI_LNC060326)
Source: RNAcentral